Long non-coding RNA from Bombus terrestris (buff-tailed bumblebee), 3544 nucleotides. RefSeq lists it as uncharacterized. The transcript is spliced from 5 exons. NCBI's taxonomy places the organism in Eukaryota, Metazoa, Arthropoda, Insecta, Hymenoptera, Apidae. The record is from RefSeq and is a predicted model, not a curated record.
AUCGUUCGCUAUCUUUUUUAUUAAGCUAACGAGAGGCAUCGUCAAUUUUCCUUUUGUUUCCUUUUUCUCUUUGGAUAAUCGCGUGCGACGUUUGUUACGCUGCGAUUUCACCGGUAAACAACGGAAGAAUUAUUAUGUACCGUUUCUGCGAUAAUUAGUUGAUACGUAUUCGUGAGAUAGAAAUCCGGAAAUCCAAUAGCAACUAACGAUCACUCGUGGAUUACGAAUGUAACGAUUUACGAUAAAAAUGUAUUACAUGUGUUUCUAGUGUUGUAAGCAGCUUUGAAACGUGCAUCGAUAAUAUCGCUGAUCGCUUCAAAUGGGACGUCGAGUACUAAAACAGUGCCGACCUAUCGCUUUAAAUUCAAUGGUGUGACAUAAAAAUAAUUUCCUCCUCGAUUGGAUGAGAUCGACGCGAACGAGACGCGAAAGGAAAGCGAAUUAAAUAAAUAAGUAGGUCGUAAAUUCUCGGAAGCGUUAUGCAUCCGAGGCACCGGCAGAUUUCGCUAAAUCAAGCGCAAUUACCGAUCCGUCGUCUCGUCUGAACCUGCAAUUCCCCCAUUGCCCUUACCUUCGCAACGAUUCCAGUUCCUACCCUGGAAUCACUCAAUCCCCGUUUACCUCUCUCGUUCGCGCAAUGUUUGCGCGCAGUCAUGGCACCAGCAAAGUGGCCCUAUCAAUAUUAAUCGCAAUAUUUGCCUGGCAUGCUCUUCGUCGCACUCUCUAUUACCAAUUAAUCCGGUCGUGCGAAGUAUGCUGCGAACGAGCAGAUAGGCCAUAACGCGCGAGAUGAAGCGAGGGAACGAGAGAGUAAGACUGACCAGGGGACAAAUAAAAAUGAUGGAAGAAGAAAGACGGACAGAGAGGAAGAGAAAGAACGGGUGAGACAGUGAGACGGUGAAGGGGAAAGCGAGAGGGGCCAGAGAGAAAGAGAGAGAAACGACUCGUUGACGGGUUAGAUAUUGUGUCAGCCGAGUCGUCCAGCAUUAAAAGUAAUUACGACGUGAUUGACCGAGGGCCCGUUGGCCGAGGGUGAGGCGACGCCGAGGGGAAGGCUAAAUCAUCGGAGUGACGCACGUAGCUCGUUGUUGCCUCCCAAUUAUACAAUCAGCGAGACCAAGCAGAGGAGAAGCGAGAGGGAAAAACCGAAAGAUAGACGGAGAGUGGGAAGGCCAGCCCGUGCAGCAGAAGAAAGAAGCAAAGAAUAUACUUGGAUCUUGUAUCUCGUGACGGACGAAAGACGAGAAGAGACGGUGGCGGAAUUACGUCAGGAACGUAGUGGGGCAGCCGUGGUCGUUCGAGUCGGCGAAGAUCGGUGCCAUCGCAACGAUAAUUGCCAACCGGAACCACUAGCGCGACCGGGGAUGGAUCCAGACUCUCGAACAUCGACUUUUCACAGCUAUUUUCAAGGACAACGUUUGGUACGCUACAGUAAACGUUACAGAUUCGAGGGAAGGUGUUUGAAUCCGCCCCUGUGCAAGAUGAGAAGAAGAGGAAGACGGACGAAGGAAGAUGGACCGAUCGCGAUUGUUAUCGUCUAUUAUAAAGUCGAGUAAGUUGGCCUGUGAUGCAGCUGCCGUUUUGUACGGCGAUGACGACGGUGGUUUAUAAGUCGUGAUCUAGAAACAAAUGAGCCAUUGUGGAGGACAAUCGUUCCGUUAAGGACGGGAGGAGGGCCAAAUAGGCGUGAAGAAUCGAACGACCGAACUGGCAAGAAGAAGUAAUCGAUUUCGAGAUGGUUUCCGUCGUACUGCGACGACGUCUAAUCCAACCGUUGCAAAAGGAAAACACAUUUCGCGCUCGAACACCUCCCAAGUGCUACGCGCUACCAUUCUUCAUCCGUUUAACGUUUGUUCCUCUCCGUGAAUCAAUGCGCGAGCUUUAUUUAAACGUUUCUAUUCUUACGCUACUUUUCGACCAAAUCGAUCCUGUGAUAUUGAAAUAACAAAGAUACAAACUUGGACGAAACUACUAAAACUGUUCGGCUAGAUAUAAAAAGUGAGUCGAAGAAUGCUAAGAACAACGAAAUGAAACUGAACGAUACCACACCUGUACUCAAUUAGGUUGAGUAUUUAACAGGUUUCCCGCGCGACCAAACGACGAACGAUGGAACACACAGAGAAGCGAGGAGAAGGAACUGAGUGCAAAACGAUCCAGAGCAACGGAACCAGUAGAAAUCUCUCGCUACCUUUUCCAGACCUCCAGCGGCGCAGCGAUCGAAAACGAUCGAAUAGAGCAAGGAACCGUACGACGUUUCGCGGAACACAACGGCUCGUAAGCGGCCGUCGUGCAGGCGUUAAAGAUCUGAUGCCCACUAAUGACGAAGUCUUGUGUUCACGUGUUGACACUAACUGAUCACGAAAAGGAGGACGAAGAAGUGUCAAUGAUUGCUUCGCUGUGUCAUCCUGUCCGUUUGAUAAAUGGUUGGAAAUAUCGGAGAGAAUAGGGUACCGAGAAAUCAAGCGUCCGGUAGAAGAAUCUCCGGACGGAUCCGAACAAGGGCUGGUCGUGCAGGCGUUAAGGAUCCGAUGACGCUAAUGACGAGGCCAUGUGUCCGCAUAUUGACGCUAACUGGACUGACCACGAAGAAGGAAAGCAAGAAGGAUACGAAAGAAGAAGCAGAAGAAGAGAAGAAAGAUAAAAGGGGAAGAGGUGGCGAUGGUUUGCAGUACCACGAGUAGAGUAGAAGACCGGUGUGCACGGAGGUAACGGAGGUAACAAACGUCUCCUCGAGGCCUCGAGUGUGGUAGAAAGGCGGAGGAGGGAGGGCCGCGGCAAAGGGUUCUUCCGAGGGUUAGUCCGCAGAGGUGAGAGGCAGAUCGUCUCGCGAGAAGGACCGUGCUCGAGGGAGAAGGAAGAUGAGAAAGCCCCAGGCUCGAGCCCAGCACCUCAUUACCCGAUAAUUUACUACGCGAGUAAUUAACUGGGCACACAAACGGUGCCACGUUAUAUACACCCUGCGCGCAUAUAUACGCCUCGACGACUCUUCCCUGGCUCUUUUCGAUUCUGCAGGCUCAUAUAUUACCAGUGCCGCGUCCUCUUGCCGAUCUAUUUAUCCAUUCGUUUGUACGUGAUGAACCUUCGACGUGCGAAUGCACGUAGAUAUUUCCAAAGACCAGUCUGACAAUAAUCGCUUAAACGAUAGAAAAUGGGACGACGGAGACGGAAUCGUACGUAGUUCGGUGCACCGUGUUUCUUUCGUUCGCACGGUUAUAAAUGCGACGCGAUAUUCCUCGUUCGCGCCCAACGUGUUGUAUGCUUACAAAGCACCGACAAACGAGUGUAUAUAUCGGAGGAUAUCGUAUGUUACGAAAGAAAGUAUCAAUCGAAUCCUCGUUACGUGUGGUACACGCUUGUUUCAUGAUCUAUACGCUGUGUUAACCAUUCUUCUGUAUUUGUACUUUUUAACGCAAUGUUACAAGUCCGAUAUUGCCGAUAUUGCUUAACAAUGUCUGUCUGAACCUCGUGAGAAGCUUUAACAUUUAUCUGGGAAUUUACGACCAUUUACCUUACCUGUUUGUCAUAAAUAAAUUUGUGCAAGUCA